This 468-nucleotide ribosomal RNA is filed under the name uncultured bacterium. RNAcentral's name for it is "partial 16S ribosomal RNA". It matches the Rfam family "Bacterial small subunit ribosomal RNA", at positions 28 to 507 of the family's 1533-position model. The record is from RNAcentral.
GACGAACGCUGGCGGCGUGCUUAACACAUGCAAGUCGAACGGAAAGGCCCUGCUUUUGUGGGGUUCUCGAGUGGCGCACGGGUGAGUAACACGUGAGUAACCUGCCCUUGACUUUGGGAUAACUUCAGGAAACUGGGGCUAAUACCUGCUAGGAGCUCCUGCUGCAUGGUGGGGGUUGGAAAGUUUCGGCGGAUGGGGAUGGACUCCCGGCUUAUCAGCUUGUUGGUGGGGUAGUGGCUUACCAAGGCUUUGACGGGUAGCCGGCCUGAGAGGGUGACCGGCCACAUUGGGACUGAGAUACGGCCCAGACUCCUACGGGAGGCAGCAGUGGGGAAUAUUGCACAAUGGGCGGAAGUCUGAUGCAGCAACGCCGCGUGCGGGAUGACGGCCUUCGGGUUGUAAACCGCUUUCGCCUGUGACGAAGCGUUAGUGACGGUAAUGGGUAAAGAAGCACCGGCUAACUACGUG